Molecule: ribosomal RNA, 473 nt
Filed under: uncultured Methanosaeta sp.
Lineage: Archaea; Methanobacteriati; Methanobacteriota; Methanomicrobia; Methanotrichales; Methanotrichaceae
Description: bacterial SSU rRNA
Rfam family: Archaeal small subunit ribosomal RNA
Source: RNAcentral
GACGGGGAGCACCACGAACGGGUGGAGCUUGUCGGUUUAAUUGGAUUCAACGCCGGAAAUCUUACCGGGACCGACAGCAAUAUGAAGGCCAGGCUGAAGACUUUGCCGGAUUAGCUGAGAGGUGGUGCAUGGCCGUCGUCAGUUCGUACUGUGAAGCAUCCUGUUAAGUCAGGCAACGAGCGAGACCCACGCCCACAGUUGCCAGCGUACUCUCCGGAGUGACGGGUACACUGUGGGACCGCCGCUGCUAAAGCGGAGGAAGGAAUGGGCAACGGUAGGUCAGUAUGCCCCGAAUAUCCCGGGCUACACGCGAGCUACAAUGGUUGGUACAAUGGGUAUCUACCCCGAAAGGGGACGGAAAUCUCCUAAAACCAAUCUUAGUUCGGAUUGAGGGCUGCAACUCGCCCUCAUGAAGCUGGAAUCCGUAGUAAUCGCCGUUUCAACAGAACGCGGUGAAUACGUCCCUGCUCCUU